This 1400-nucleotide ribosomal RNA is filed under the name Staphylococcus aureus. RNAcentral's name for it is "bacterial SSU rRNA". It matches the Rfam family "Bacterial small subunit ribosomal RNA". The record is from RNAcentral. Lineage: Bacteria; Bacillati; Bacillota; Bacilli; Caryophanales; Staphylococcaceae.
AGACUGGGAUAACUUCGGGAAACCGUAGCUAAUACCGGAUAAUAUUUUGAACCGCAUGGUUCAAAAGUGAAAGUCGGUCUUGCUGUCACUUAUAGAUGGAUCCGCGCUGCAUUAGCUAGUGGGUAAGGUAACGGCUUACCAAGGCAACGAUGCAUAGCCGACCUGAGAGGGUGAUCGGCCACACUGGAACUGAGACACGGUCCAGACUCCUACGGGAGGCAGCAGUAGGGAAUCUUCCGCAAUGGGCGAAAGCCUGACGGAGCAACGCCGCGUGAGUGAUGAAGGUCUUCGGAUCGUAAAACUCUGUUAUUAGGGAAGAACAUAUGUGUAAGUAACUGUGCACAUCUUGACGGUACCUAAUCAGAAAGCCACGGCUAACUACGUGCCAGCAGCCGCGGUAAUACGUAGGUGGCAAGCGUUAUCCGGAAUUAUUGGGCGUAAAGCGCGCGUAGGCGGUUUUUUAAGUCUGAUGUGAAAGCCCACGGCUCAACCGUGGAGGGUCAUUGGAAACUGGAAAACUUGAGUGCAGAAGAGGAAAGUGGAAUUCCAUGUGUAGCGGUGAAAUGCGCAGAGAUAUGGAGGAACACCAGUGGCGAAGGCGACUUUCUGGUCUGUAACUGACGCUGAUGUGCGAAAGCGUGGGGAUCAAACAGGAUUAGAUACCCUGGUAGUCCACGCCGUAAACGAUGAGUGCUAAGUGUUAGGGGGUUUCCGCCCCUUAGUGCUGCAGCUAACGCAUUAAGCACUCCGCCUGGGGAGUACGACCGCAAGGUUGAAACUCAAAGGAAUUGACGGGGACCCGCACAAGCGGUGGAGCAUGUGGUUUAAUUCGAAGCAACGCGAAGAACCUUACCAAAUCUUGACAUCCUUUGACAACUCUAGAGAUAGAGCCUUCCCCUUCGGGGGACAAAGUGACAGGUGGUGCAUGGUUGUCGUCAGCUCGUGUCGUGAGAUGUUGGGUUAAGUCCCGCAACGAGCGCAACCCUUAAGCUUAGUUGCCAUCAUUAAGUUGGGCACUCUAAGUUGACUGCCGGUGACAAACCGGAGGAAGGUGGGGAUGACGUCAAAUCAUCAUGCCCCUUAUGAUUUGGGCUACACACGUGCUACAAUGGACAAUACAAAGGGCAGCGAAACCGCGAGGUCAAGCAAAUCCCAUAAAGUUGUUCUCAGUUCGGAUUGUAGUCUGCAACUCGACUACAUGAAGCUGGAAUCGCUAGUAAUCGUAGAUCAGCAUGCUACGGUGAAUACGUUCCCGGGUCUUGUACACACCGCCCGUCACACCACGAGAGUUUGUAACACCCGAAGCCGGUGGAGUAACCUUUUAGGAGCUAGCCGUCGAAGGUGGGACAAAUGAUUGGGGUGAAGUCGUAACAAGGUAGCCGUAUCGGAAGGUGCGGCUG